Molecule: RNase P RNA, 517 nt
Filed under: Acidobacteriota bacterium
Lineage: Bacteria; Pseudomonadati; Acidobacteriota
Description: RNase P RNA component class A
Rfam family: Bacterial RNase P class A
About the family: Ribonuclease P (RNase P) is a ubiquitous endoribonuclease, found in archaea, bacteria and eukarya as well as chloroplasts and mitochondria. Its best characterised activity is the generation of mature 5'-ends of tRNAs by cleaving the 5'-leader elements of precursor-tRNAs.
Source: RNAcentral
CGAGCAAGCCGGGCGGCCGCCGCUCCGCAUGUCGGGUAGUUCUCGGCAAGCGGGGGGGAGGAAAGUCCGAACUCCGCAGGGCAGUGUGCUCGCUAACGGCGAGGGCCGGGGAUGGAUGCUCGGUAAAACGGGCCGUACGCCCCCGGCACGGAAAGUGCCACAGAAAACAUACCGCCCCUCCUUCCAUUCCGUCGCGAAUAGGCGAAAUGGUCGGGCGGGUAAGGGUGAAAUGGUGCGGCGGCUGACCCAUCGCGAUGGGUCAAGCGGCUUAAUGUAAGGGCGCACCGCACCGGCCGUGAGGCCGGCGGCAUGGAAAACCCCGCACGGAGCAAGACCAAAUAGGGGAGCAGGAGCGGCCCGCUCCGAAAUGCGCCGCGCUCACAGCCGUACGGGUGACGUUGCGCAUGCGACUCCCGGGUAGAUCGCUCGAGCCUGCCAGCAAUGGCCGGCCUAGAGGAAUGGCUGCCAUCCCGAUCCUUUCGGGUUACAGAAUUCGGCUUACAGGCUUGCUCGCCAA